RNAcentral lists this long non-coding RNA (694 nucleotides) under Cricetulus griseus (Chinese hamster). RNAcentral describes it as "lncRNA (ENSCGRG00015031026.1)". The record is from RNAcentral. Lineage: Eukaryota; Metazoa; Chordata; Mammalia; Rodentia; Cricetidae.
GUAAGAAGGAAGCAACUUGGAAGUCUGUGAAGAACAGGAUCAUCUCUUGAAGCAGAUUUAUGAUAUUCACCCAAGCAAGAGUAGUGGCACAAUAAUAACCCUUAUGGAGAAGACUGAAGAAGAUGAGACAAGCAAUAUCACCUGGCACCCUUUUUGAAACCUGCUGAAAUAAUGAGGAUCCUGCUGACAUAACGGGGAUCGUGUUUGAUGCACAUCCAUUCUGCAGCACAUCCAGGGGAAGUUAACAUUUAAAUUCAAGAAACACUUAUGUAAAGCAACCAGACAUAUGCCGAAUGCUUCUUGAAUUAUUUAGUAAAAUUCUAAUUAUCUAGAUAGUAUGCAUAAAAUGGACAAUUUGUAUUUAAAAUUUCAAGCUUAUAUCCUUGGCUAUAUAAUUGUACAUGAUUUUCCCCCAGAGCUAGAAAGAGAAUCUUUAAUGUAUGAUAAUUACAUUUGAAGAAGAAUUAAAAAACACAUGUAAUUUAAAUAAAAUCAAUAAAAAGAGCUGUCAAAUAUCUACUUGAGCUCAUUUCAUGGAAAUCUUCUAAAGUUGUGCUCAACAUUUCUUUCUUCUUUUCAGAGUGUAAGCAGAAUAUUUCUCUCACUUUAGAAAGAGGCCCUGAACUUACUAACUAUUCCUCUAGAACCAUGCACCAUUUCUUUGUCCAACCCUGACAAGGCUCAUUGUAUUUCC